AGAAACGAGAUCAGCUCAUGGAAACACUGGGGAAAUAUUUUCAGAAACGUAGGGCACGUUUUACUUGAAAAGUGUUCAGAACACUUGGCCUACUCACAGGCCCUGAACCUCCCCUCACUGCUACUGUGGGGGUUUAUCCUGGCUCGGGCGAUCAACAGAGUUAACCAGAUCAGAAUACUUUUCUCUCCUGCCAUUUCAUUCCGUGAACAUAAUCCAUAGAGUUGUAACAUCCAGUGAAGAAAACUGCAAUGAUUUGUAAAGUUUUGAAUCUUCAACCUUGAUGGAUUGGAGCUGCUGAGAGCUUUCUCAAUUUAAGCUGUGGCAAUUUUAUACUAGUCUCCAAAGUGUUUUUUCAGAAGCCUUUUGUCUUCUGCCUAUUGUCUGUCAGCCUCCAUAUGUUGACAACUGCGGACUAGAUCUCUUGGUUGUACAACAGUGAAUUGCUCUAAAAAGUACAGCCUGUCUUUGCUGUUCUCACUCCUGCCUUCAAUAGCAUGUUUAAAGGCAAUUACAAAUAACCUGUAGUGUAGUUGGUCACCCUAUGAGGUGGUAAUGAGGACAACUUUUUUUGCAUUACCAACAUUUUAGCAAUUCAUUUUGGAGAAGCAUAAUGUUGACAAUACUGUCCAUGUUUUCAGUUCCACCAUGUAUGUCUGGGUUGAUAGGCCUUUCUCCCCCAGUUGGAAGUUGCAGAGGACUAUAUUUCGGUCUUAAAACAGGCUCUGCCCAUGUGUUAGUUGACCUAAGAUGAACAGAGUGGUAUGUUGUGGCAGCACUUUGUUGUAAUAUACUCCUUUGACCCUGUCCCUGUGCAGUACGAGCAGAUAUCAUGAACAAUGGAGAUCCCUGUUCAGCCAUGGUGUGUGGUUGUGUGCUAUGGAUUCCUUGGACAGUCUGAGUGGUGGUUGGGAAAUUUUUGCUUUGUUUAAUCUUCCACACGGUAUCCUCAGGCCUUCCCAUUGCAUUCAGGUAAUCGUCAUUCUAUCACUUAAUAUUAUUUGUGGCUUUAUACUUAUUGAAUACAUUCAACUUAGUACUGUUAGCCAACAUUUCAGUUUCAAGCACCAAUUCCUCAGCUUGUCAAUGCUUGUCAUCUUUUCAAAGUCUCAACUUUGAGCAGUAAUGUUGCCUUUUCAUCCUCCAUCUUGAGCCUGGAAGAACAUGUGGUGCAUUGCCCUGAGUGACUUCUGUGUUGUGAUGCGUUUCCAUGUUUUGAUGAGGCAUUGGAGAUUUGUUUUUCUUUUCAAUAUUUUUAAUUUAACC
Oncorhynchus kisutch (coho salmon) is the source of this 1263-nucleotide long non-coding RNA. RefSeq lists it as uncharacterized. The record is from RefSeq and is a predicted model, not a curated record. The transcript is spliced from 3 exons. Lineage: Eukaryota; Metazoa; Chordata; Actinopteri; Salmoniformes; Salmonidae.